UGGGGAAUAUUGGGCAAUGGGCGAAAGCCUGACCCAGCGACGCCGCGUGCGGGAAGAAGGUCUUCGGAUUGUAAACCGCUGUUGAUAGGGAAGAAGAAAGUGACGGUACCUAUCGAGGAAGUCACGGCUAACUACGUGCCAGCAGCCGCGGUAAUACGUAGGUGGCGAGCGUUAUCCGGAAUUACUGGGUGUAAAGGGUGUGUAGGCGGGACGGCAAGUCAGAUGUGAAAUCCGGGGGCUCAACCCCCGGCCUGCAUUUGAAACUGCUGUUCUUGAGUGUCGGAGAGGUAAACGGAAUUCCCAGUGUAGCGGUGAAAUGCGUAGAUAGUGGGAGGAACACCAGUGGCGAAGGCGGUUUACUGGACGACAACUGACGCUGAGACACGAAAGCGUGGGGAGCAAACAGG
Molecule: ribosomal RNA, 407 nt
Filed under: uncultured prokaryote
Also listed under: 1 other name
Description: bacterial SSU rRNA
Rfam family: Bacterial small subunit ribosomal RNA
Source: RNAcentral